Molecule: ribosomal RNA, 253 nt
Filed under: uncultured bacterium
Lineage: Bacteria
Description: partial 16S ribosomal RNA
Rfam family: Bacterial small subunit ribosomal RNA
Source: RNAcentral
GACGAACCGAGCAAACGUUGUUCGGAAUCACUGGGCUUAAAGGGCGCGUAGGCGGGCUGCCAAGUCCGGGGUGAAAUCCUCCAGCUUAACUGGAGAACGGCCUCGGAUACUGGCGGUCUCGAGGGAGAUAGGGGCAUGCGGAACUGUAGGUGGAGCGGUGAAAUGCGUUGAUAUCUACAGGAACUCCGGUGGCGAAGGCGGCAUGCUGGAUCUUUUCUGACGCUGAGGCGCGAAAGCCAGGGGAGCGAACGGG